Molecule: non-coding RNA, 74 nt
Organism: Bos taurus (domestic cattle)
Lineage: Eukaryota; Metazoa; Chordata; Mammalia; Artiodactyla; Bovidae
Source: Rfam
UCCCUGGUGGUCCAGUGGUUUAAGACCCUGUGCUCCAAAUGCAGGGGGCCUGGGUUCAAUCCCUGGCCAGGGAA